This 1361-nucleotide ribosomal RNA is filed under the name Leucobacter sp. CV30May. Its description in RNAcentral is "bacterial SSU rRNA". It matches the Rfam family "Bacterial small subunit ribosomal RNA", at positions 70 to 1442 of the family's 1533-position model. The record is from RNAcentral. Lineage: Bacteria; Bacillati; Actinomycetota; Actinomycetes; Micrococcales; Microbacteriaceae.
GAAGCCUAGCUUGCUAGGUGGAAGAGUGGCGAACGGGUGAGUAACACGUGAGCAACCUGCCCUUCACUCUGGGAUACGCACUGGAAACGGUGUCUAAUACUGGAUAUGACCCAUCACCGCAUGGUGUGUGGGUGGAAAGAUUUAUCGGUGAAGGAUGGGCUCGCGGCCUAUCAGCUUGUUGGUGAGGUAGUGGCUCACCAAGGCGACGACGGGUAGCCGGCCUGAGAGGGUGACCGGCCACACUGGGACUGAGACACGGCCCAGACUCCUACGGGAGGCAGCAGUGGGGAAUAUUGCACAAUGGGCGCAAGCCUGAUGCAGCAACGCCGCGUGAGGGAUGACGGCCUUCGGGUUGUAAACCUCUUUUAGUAGGGAAGAAGCGAAAGUGACGGUACCUGCAGAAAAAGCACCGGCUAACUACGUGCCAGCAGCCGCGGUAAUACGUAGGGUGCAAGCGUUGUCCGGAAUUAUUGGGCGUAAAGAGCUCGUAGGCGGCUUGUCGCGUCUGCUGUGAAAACCCGAGGCUCAACCUCGGGCCUGCAGUGGGUACGGGCAAGCUAGAGUGCGGUAGGGGAGAUUGGAAUUCCUGGUGUAGCGGUGGAAUGCGCAGAUAUCAGGAGGAACACCGAUGGCGAAGGCAGAUCUCUGGGCCGUAACUGACGCUGAGGAGCGAAAGCAUGGGGAGCGAACAGGAUUAGAUACCCUGGUAGUCCAUGCCGUAAACGUUGGGAACUAGAUGUAGGGCCUGUUCCACGGGUUCUGUGUCGUAGCUAACGCAUUAAGUUCCCCGCCUGGGGAGUACGGCCGCAAGGCUAAAACUCAAAGGAAUUGACGGGGGCCCGCACAAGCGGCGGAGCAUGCGGAUUAAUUCGAUGCAACGCGAAGAACCUUACCAAGGCUUGACAUAUACGAGAACGGGCGAGAGAUCGUCAACUCUUUGGACACUCGUAAACAGGUGGUGCAUGGUUGUCGUCAGCUCGUGUCGUGAGAUGUUCGGUUAAGUCCGGCAACGAGCGCAACCCUCGUCCUAUGUUGCCAGCACGUUAUGGUGGGAACUCAUGGGAUACUGCCGUGGUCAACACGGAGGAAGGUGGGGAUGACGUCAAAUCAUCAUGCCCCUUAUGUCUUGGGCUUCACGCAUGCUACAAUGGCCGAUACAAUGGGCUGCGAUACCGCGAGGUGGAGCGAAUCCCAAAAAGUCGGUCUCAGUUCGGAUUGGGGUCUGCAACUCGACCCCAUGAAGUCGGAGUCGCUAGUAAUCGCAGAUCAGCAACGCUGCGGUGAAUACGUUCCCGGGCCUUGUACACACCGCCCGUCAAGUCAUGAAAGUCUGUAACACCCGAAGCCGGUGGCCUAACCCU